UUUCGCAAUGCCCGAAAGGGUGACGAAGCGACGCCGCGUGUGGGAAGAAGGCCUUCGGGUUGUAAACCACUGUCGGGAGUUAGGAAAUGCAGGUGCGUUAAUAGCGCACUUGCUUGACUAAGGCUCCAGAGGAAGCCACGGCUAACUCUGUGCCAGCAGCCGCGGUAAUACAGAGGCGGCAAGCGUUGUUCGGAAUUAUUGGGCGUAAAGAGCACGUAGGCGGCCUUGCAAGUCAGUUGUGAAAGCCUUCCGCUUAACGGAAGAACGGCAUCUGAUACUACAGGGCUUGAGUACGGGAGGAGAGAGUGGAACUUCUGGUGGAGCGGUGAAAUGCGUAGAUAUCAGAAGGAACGCCGGCGGCGAAAGCGACUCUCUGGUCCGAAACUGACGCUGAGUGUGCGAAAGCUAGGGGAGCAAACGGGAUUAGAUACCCCGGUAGUCCUAGCCGUAAACGAUGGGCACUAAGUAGAGGGGUUUU
Molecule: ribosomal RNA, 478 nt
Filed under: uncultured Planctomycetales bacterium
Lineage: Bacteria; Pseudomonadati; Planctomycetota; Planctomycetia; Planctomycetales
Description: bacterial SSU rRNA
Rfam family: Bacterial small subunit ribosomal RNA
Source: RNAcentral